AACGAACGCUGGCGGCAGGCUUAACACAUGCAAGUCGAGCGCCCCGCAAGGGGAGCGGCAGACGGGUGGGUAACGCGUGGGAACGUACCUUUUGGUUCGGAACAACUCCGGGAAACUGGAGCUAAUACCGGAUAAGCCCUAACGGGGAAAGAUUUAUCGCCGAAAGAUCGGCCCGCGUCUGAUUAGCUAGUUGGUGAGGUAACGGCUCACCAAGGCGACGAUCAGUAGCUGGUCUGAGAGGAUGAUCAGCCACACUGGGACUGAGACACGGCCCAGACUCCUACGGGAGGCAGCAGUGGGGAAUAUUGGACAAUGGGCGCAAGCCUGAUCCAGCCAUGCCGCGUGAGUGAUGAAGGCCUUAGGGUUGUAAAGCUCUUUUGUCCGGGAAGAUAAUGACUGUACCGGAAGAAUAAGCCCCGGCUAACUUCGUG
RNAcentral lists this ribosomal RNA (431 nucleotides) under uncultured bacterium. RNAcentral's name for it is "partial 16S ribosomal RNA". It matches the Rfam family "Bacterial small subunit ribosomal RNA", at positions 29 to 507 of the family's 1533-position model. The record is from RNAcentral.